GAUGAGAACGCAGCGAAAUGCGAUAAGUAGUGUGAAUUGCAGAAUUCAGUGAAUCAUCGAAUCUUUGAACGCACAUUGCGCCCCUUGGUAUUCCAUGGGGCAUGCCUGUUCGAGCGUCAUUUGUACCUUCAAGCUUUGCUUGGUGUUGGGUGUUUGUCCAUUCUCUUGCAGAGGGACUCGCCUUAAAGUAAUUGGCAGCCAGUGUUUUGGUUUUGAAGCGCAGCACAAGUCGCGAUUCAAAGCUAUACGCCCGCUUCCACAAGCCUUUUUCACUUUUGACCUCGGAUCAGGUAGGGAUACCCGCUGAACUUAAGCAUAUCAAUAAGCGGAGGA
Molecule: unclassified non-coding RNA, 333 nt
Filed under: soil metagenome
Description: partial contains 5.8S ribosomal RNA, internal transcribed spacer 2, and large subunit ribosomal RNA
Rfam family: 5.8S ribosomal RNA (bases 5-119)
Source: RNAcentral